AGUGACAGCCAUAUCACCCUGAAGCCUAAGUGUCAGGUUAUUCACUGACACUAAGCAGGGCUUAGCCUGGUUAGCACCUGGAUGAGAGACCACAUUUGAAAACUAGGAUGCUGUUGGAA
Ribosomal RNA from Danio rerio (zebrafish), 119 nucleotides. The record is from Ensembl. Lineage: Eukaryota; Metazoa; Chordata; Actinopteri; Cypriniformes; Danionidae.